This 486-nucleotide ribosomal RNA is filed under the name uncultured bacterium. Its description in RNAcentral is "partial 16S ribosomal RNA". It matches the Rfam family "Bacterial small subunit ribosomal RNA", at positions 30 to 507 of the family's 1533-position model. The record is from RNAcentral.
AUUGAACGCUGGCGGCAUGCCUUACACAUGCCAGUCGAACGGCAGCACGGGUGCUUGCACCUGGUGGCGAGUGGCGAACGGGUGAGUAAUACAUCGGAACAUGUCCUGUAGUGGGGGAUAGCCCGGCGAAAGCCGGAUUAAUACCGCAUACGAUCUACGGAUGAAAGCGGGGGACCUUCGGGCCUCGCGCUAUAGGGUUGGCCGAUGGCUGAUUAGCUAGUUGGUGGGGUAAAGGCCUACCAAGGCGACGACCAGAAGCUGGUCUGAGAGGACGACCAGCCACACUGGGACUGAGACACGGCCCAGACUCCUACGGGAGGAAGCAGUGGGGAAUUUUGGACAAUGGGCGAAAGCCUGAUCCAGCAAUGCCGCGUGUGUGAAGAAGGCCUUCGGGUUGUAAAGCACUUUUGUCCGGAAAGAAAUACUUGGCCCUAAUACGGUCGGGGGAUGACGGUACCGGAAGAAUAAGCACCGGCUAACUACGUG